This 158-nucleotide ribosomal RNA is filed under the name Amylocorticium cebennense. RNAcentral's name for it is "5.8S ribosomal RNA". It matches the Rfam family "5.8S ribosomal RNA". Rfam says of the family: 5.8S ribosomal RNA (5.8S rRNA) is a component of the large subunit of the eukaryotic ribosome. It is transcribed by RNA polymerase I as part of the 45S precursor that also contains 18S and 28S rRNA. Functionally, it is thought that 5.8S rRNA may be involved in ribosome translocation. Lineage: Eukaryota; Fungi; Basidiomycota; Agaricomycetes; Amylocorticiales; Amylocorticiaceae. The record is from RNAcentral.
CAACUUUCAACAACGGAUCUCUUGGCUCUCGCAUCGAUGAAGAACGCAGCGAAAUGCGAUAAGUAAUGUGAAUUGCAGAAUUCAGUGAAUCAUCGAAUCUUUGAACGCACCUUGCGCUUCUCAGUUAUCUGAGGAGCAUGCCUGUUUGAGUGUCAUUA